RNAcentral lists this ribosomal RNA (66 nucleotides) under uncultured bacterium. RNAcentral describes it as "partial 16S ribosomal RNA". The record is from RNAcentral.
UACCGAGAAGUACGGUAGCCGUAACCGCAAGGAGGCGCUACCACGGUGUGGUCAAUGACUGGGGUG